ACACCGGCAGCUCAAGUGGUAGCCGCUUUUAUUGGGCCUAAAGCGUCCGUAGCCGGUCUGAUAAGUCUCUGGUGAAAUCCCACAGCUUAACUGUGGGAAUUGCUGGAGAUACUAUCAUGACUCGAGGUCGGGAGAGGCUGGAGGUACUCCCAGGGUAGGGGUGAAAUCCUGUAAUCCUGGGAGGACCACCUGUGGCGAAGGCGGCCAGCGGGAACGAACCUGACGGUGAGGGACGAAAGCCAGGGGCGCGAACCGGAUUAGAUACCCGGGUAGUCCUGGCCGUAAACGAUGUGGACUUGGUGUUGGGAUGGCUUCGAGCUGCCCCAGUGCCGAAGGGAAGCUGUUAAGUCCACCGCCUGGGAAGUACGGCCGCAAGGCUGAAACUUAAAGGAAUUGACGGGG
Molecule: ribosomal RNA, 402 nt
Filed under: uncultured bacterium
Lineage: Bacteria
Description: partial 16S ribosomal RNA
Rfam family: Archaeal small subunit ribosomal RNA
Source: RNAcentral